GGGACCGUAGCCCAAUCGGCAGGAGGCGGCGCGUUUAGGUCGCGCACAGUGUGGGUUCGAAUCCCACCGGUCCUA
RNAcentral lists this transfer RNA (75 nucleotides) under Actinospica durhamensis. It matches the Rfam family "tRNA". Rfam says of the family: Transfer RNA (tRNA) molecules are approximately 80 nucleotides in length. The record is from Rfam by way of RNAcentral. Lineage: Bacteria; Bacillati; Actinomycetota; Actinomycetes; Catenulisporales; Actinospicaceae.